Molecule: non-coding RNA, 290 nt
Organism: Paramuricea clavata
Lineage: Eukaryota; Metazoa; Cnidaria; Anthozoa; Malacalcyonacea; Plexauridae
Source: the annotation of a GenBank genome assembly
GAUUUAUAGUAUUUUACUGGAAGAUGGUAUAUUUUAGCGAAGAUGGAACAUCAGGGAUGACUGAAUAACUUCCAGGUAAGAAUAUUGUUUUGUUUUCUAUAUAACAGAGCAAUUUUGAAAGGAAAUAUUUACUAUCUUCAUUCGUGAAUUUUGAGCAUGUGUUCCGUCUUAAAAUUUGAAUUCGCUGCGACAAUAUAAAUACAUUAGUUUUUAUACAAAGACUUAUAUUUGACUCAGCCUUUAUAUCAAAUUAUGUUUGUUGUAAUGCCAAAUAGACUAGUGUAUAUGAC